Molecule: long non-coding RNA, 2333 nt
Organism: Oncorhynchus gorbuscha (pink salmon)
Lineage: Eukaryota; Metazoa; Chordata; Actinopteri; Salmoniformes; Salmonidae
Exons: 3
Source: RefSeq, a predicted model, not a curated record
GAGAGAGAGAGAGAGAGAGAUUGAGUGUCCAACAUGCAUCCUGCAACUGAGGUGCAUUUUUGGACAGACUGAACACCUCUGGACGACUACUGUUUCAGACUGCAGCACCGCAGACCUUCAUCAUCAGACAGACACAGAGGGAGAGGACACUGAUCCAAUCUUGGCAAAAAUGAGCUUGGCUCGGAUCCAUGAUAAACACAAGCUAAAGAAAUACUGGGAGGAGAAAAUCGAACGUCACAGCGAUAUAAUGGGGAGUGAGGAAUCCAGAAUGAAGAGCAGUGCCUUAUCAAAGCUGCGGGACGAGUGGCUCAGGAGGCUGAAGCUUCGGAACCAGCAGCUGGAGCAUUUAGAAGAGAAACACAUCAGGAGGGGCAAGAUGUCCCAACAGGCCUUCAAGAUACCCAGUCAAUGACUACUCGAAUCUACAUUCUAGAAUCUACAUCAUUCUAAGCCAUCUGACUGAGGUCAUGACAUGUAGAUUAGCCUGGCUGCCAUCUCUUGUUCAGAUACGACAUUCCACUCAUUGCAACUCCUGUCAUUUGCCAAAGACAAUCUUUGGCAAAUGACGGGAGUGACAAGGAGUGGAUUAUUAGCUAAAAAAAAGACUGGUACUCAGACUAAUGAUGUAGGGUUAACUAGGACUAGCUUCUCCAUUUCAGAUGAUGACAUUACGACUAUAGAUUGAGGGGAAAUAGUGUAACUGAAGGGAAGUUUACUUCUUGCGAGGGAGACGGUAUGGCAGAAAGUCAAAUGGAUGGGAUGUCGCCGAAUGAUUAGUUGCAGAGCCAUGCUGUACAGACUUUGUCAUUAACACUCAUGUCGUAGUUUUGAGGCGACCAUCUGUUGUGCAGUUAAAUAAGUGCAGGGGAGUAUGUGAAGACUUGACUGUACAUCAGAGUGACAGUCGUGGUGACAGGUGGGGUAAUUAUUUGAUUUUUGUGUCGGAGGAAUAUACAACGUGAUCGGGAGGAAACAUGAUGAAGAUUGACAGAAUAUGGUAUGUUUUUGUUUUCAAGAAAGAAAAGUAUGGAAAGUUCAGAGAAACCAUAGAAAUGUGUUAAUGUCCCAAUUUCCGGGCUUAAAUAUAGAUAGAAUUUCAUAACGUUUAACAUAAUUUAUCUGCAACAUUAAAAGAGAGGGGAAAGCAUCUCUUCUGAGGCAUGUGAAAUGUAAAGAACUCAGAACUCAUUAGAGUUUUUUUUUAAAUGCAUGUGGACAGUUUCAGAGGUUUCUGAGAGAUGUGUUCCGGCCAGGUUACAGAAGUUGGUCUUUCAGUCAUCAGUUUAACAAAACAUUAGCAUUGUGCUUUGAAUUGACACUAUGUCGAUGUGUUUUAGGGUGUCUGCUUAUGUCUUGGUGUUAAGACGAGCUGUGAAAGGGAGUGCUGUUAGCUUCAUCUUCUUUUCAGUUUGAUGUGAUGAACAAAGAAAUGUCUAAAAAAAACAUCCUACAGCAUCACCAUGAUCCUACAUCCUACCGCAUCGCCAUGAUCCUACAUCCUACAGCAUCACCAUGAUCCUACAUCCUACAGCAUCACCAUGAUCCUACAUCCUACAGCAUCACCAUGAUCCUACAUCCUACAGCAUUGCCAUGAUCCUACAUCCCUCAGCAUCACCAUGAUCCUACAUCCUACAGCAUCACCAUGACCAUAUUUGAGAAGUUGUACAAUCAUACAUUAUCAAUGGCCAAGGAGACAGCUUCUGAUCAAAAUAGAAAUGAUUGGACCGAAAGUACAAGAUUGGGAGAUGGUACAGUAUAACAUUACGGAGUAUGGCAUUACAGAGUCAUUUACUCCUGAGGUGCUGACCUGUUGCACCCUCUAUAACGACAGUGAUUAUUAUUUGACCCUGCUGGUCAUCUACAGUGCCUUGAGAAAGCAUUAAUGCCCUUGACUUAUUCUACGUUCUGUUGUGUUACAGCCAGAAUUCAAAAUGGAUUCAAUUCAUUUCUCUCUCUCUCUCUCACCCAUCUACACACAAUACACCAUAUUGACAAAGUGAAUGCAUGUUUUUAGACAUUUUAGCUCAUUUAUUGAUAAUGAAAUACAGAAGUAUCUCCUUUACAUAAGUAUUCCCGCCCCUGAGUCAAAACUUUGUAGAAGCACCUUUGGCAGCGAUUACAUCUGUGAAUCUUUCUGGGUAAGUCUCCAAGAUUUUUCCACACCUGGAUUGUGCCCAUUAUUCUUCUCAGAAUUCAUGUUUUGCAAUAUGUUUAUUCUGUAAAGGUUUCCUUUUUUUCUCACUGUCAUGCAGGUUAGUAUUGUGGAGUAGCAACAAUGUUGUCGAUCCUUCCUCAAUUUUCUCCUAUCACAGCCAUUAAACUUUUAAAGUCGC